Scatophagus argus is the source of this 417-nucleotide long non-coding RNA. RefSeq lists it as uncharacterized. The transcript is spliced from 3 exons. The record is from RefSeq and is a predicted model, not a curated record. Lineage: Eukaryota; Metazoa; Chordata; Actinopteri; Scatophagidae.
UACUUUAUUUUACUGGCCUGCCCUCUUGCACUUGCACGCUGCCUCUCCACUGUCGGGUUGUUGUGGCACUCUGGAGCGGGGGCGCGCCGGGGCGCGUGCACACUGCAAAGCGUCCUUUGCGUUUCCAUGGAGACCGCGGACAGCAACACAGCACGGAGGGAGAGGUGUCCGACUCCAGUUCCAACUUUUAACAUCAGAAUUUCACUUUCAUCGUUUGAACGACGUGUUGUGGGCACUGGCGGAGCUCUGAAUUGGGCCUGCGUUGUCGUUUUGGCAAUUUGGCGGUGGGGAAGGGAUCGCUGUGGUGUGUGUGUCCAGAGUAUCGGCCGGCGCUCCUUGAGGUGCUGAGGAAGACCCACAGCUAUCACAGCAACAACAGCAGUCUGAUAAACAAGUCAGCACUGUUGGAAGAAGCUG